Molecule: ribosomal RNA, 506 nt
Filed under: uncultured bacterium
Lineage: Bacteria
Description: partial 16S ribosomal RNA
Rfam family: Bacterial small subunit ribosomal RNA
Source: RNAcentral
AGUGAACGCUGGCGGUAGGCCUAACACAUGCAAGUCGAACGGCAGCACAGGAGAGCUUGCUCUCUGGGUGGCGAGUGGCGGACGGGUGAGGAAUACAUCGGAAUCUACUCUGUCGUGGGGGAUAACGUAGGGAAACUUACGCUAAUACCGCAUACGACCUACGGGUGAAAGCAGGGGACCUUCGGACCUUGCGCGAUCGAAUGAGCCGUGGUCGGAUGAGCUAGUUGGCGGGGUAAAGGCCCACCAAGGCGACGAUCCGUAGCUGGUCUGAGAGGAUGAUCAGACACACUGGAACUGAGACACGGUCCAGACUCCUACGGGAGGCAGCAGUGGGGAAUAUUGGACAAUGGGCGCAAGCCUGAUCCAGCCAUACCGCGUGGGUGAAGAAGGCCUUCGGGUUGUAAAGCCCUUUUGUUGGGAAAGAAAUCCAGCUGGCUAAUACCCGGUUGGGAUGACGGUACCCAAAGAAUAAGCACCGGCUAACUUCGUGCCAGCAGCCGCCGUAA